Molecule: long non-coding RNA, 1885 nt
Organism: Pomacea canaliculata
Lineage: Eukaryota; Metazoa; Mollusca; Gastropoda; Architaenioglossa; Ampullariidae
Exons: 6
Source: RefSeq, a predicted model, not a curated record
UGAUAUCCUAUAUACCCCUGUAGCAAUAUGAAUCGUUGAGCAAUAUGACCCGUUGAAGCGAGCUCUGCGCAUGUGCCGAAGGUCACAGUUCAGAAGACUACGUACAUUGAACGUUCUCUUUGAUCAUUGCAAAUCCCAGAUUAAAAGGUGUCCUGUCUGUCAAAAACAUGAAACAAUUAAGACUCAGGCUCCUGCGAUGACACCAAUCAAGGUUACAGAACCACUGGAGCUUGUGGAGAUGGAUUAUAUGGGUCCUUUGAAGCGCACAAAAGCGGGGAACAGAUAUAUACUGACGAUGAUUGACAGCUUCACAAAGUUUGUUGAGCUGUAUCCAAUGCAAUCAAAGCUGCCAUCUGAAGUGUGUCGAAAAAUAUUGUCAUUCGUAAGAAGGUACGGGGCACCAAAACGCAUCCUGUCGGAUAGAGGAGAAUAAUUUGUAAAUAAGGCUAAUAUGGAGCUGUGCCGGAGGUUGAACAUCAAAAGAAGUGUGUCAUCGGCAUACCACCCCCAAACUAAUGGUCUUGUGGAGCGUAUGAAUAAAACUGUCAAGACCCGUUGUUCGAAAAUGGUGGAACAGCACAAUUGUGAAUGGGAUGAAGUAGUGAAAGAUGUUGCUUUUACAAUUAGAUGCCAGAAACAAAAAUCAACAAAAUAUUCACCAUUCUUUCUGAUGUUUGGGCAACAACCUAGAUACAUAUUCGAUAUGGAAGAAGCAGACAAAGACACAGGUGUGGUAUUAAUCCCCAGUGGAGAUGAGGAGCCAGAAGAUGAUGAAGAACCUUUAUUGGACACGAUAUCUGCAAAAAAUGAUGACUCCAAAAUGGAAGAGGACGACUCAGUACCCCAACUAUUUACCAAAAAAUUGCUUCUGGCUGCAGCAUGUAACCAGGAGCAAGUCAACCAAUGUUCUGAAAGGAAUGAGCUGACAAAAAUUGUGUUUUCACAGGUCCUGGAAAACCAAGAACAAGCAAGUCAGAAACAGAGGAAGGCCUAUGCACAGCGGACUUCAAAGGGGAUAAAAACCUUUGACUUGAAGGUUGGGGAUCUUGUGCUGAGACAAAAUGUCAGAAACAAAGGAAGAUAUGGUGAUGCUUUGGACAAACCUUGGAUUGGCCCUUUCAGGUAUCAAAUCAAAUCAAAUCAGACUUUAUUGUCUGUCAAGGAGACCCAAGACAGAAAUUUUUCUUUUGCUCACAAGGGCAGGCAUACAUACUGUUAUAUAUGUCAUGUUAUAUAUAUCACUGUUAUUUAGGUGCAAACUACAUCUUUGUAUACAUCUUUAUGCAUACAUACCUGGAAAUAAAAGUGGUUGGCUACAGCUAAAAAACUUUGAGCACUAUUUGGGUUCUUGGCAGCUAACAGGUACUUCUCUUUUGUAAUUGUUUCAUUUAUGGAUUUUCUUUUACUGCUACCAAGAACGAUUUAGCAGUUCUUUUUCAGCGUAUAUCGCUGCCUUUCUUUUAUAUCUUUUGAGGUGUACUGUUGUCUAAAAAGCUUGUUUUACGACAGAGGAAGCGUCUGCCCUAUGUACUAUCUUUUUAUUUUGUAUUCUCCGCAAGCAUCUAUUGUCUGCUUUCGUACAAAAUAACAUGUUAUAUAUAAUGGAAAAUAUUAUAAUAUACAUCGUUUUACCAUCUCUAUGGACGUAGAUAUUCGUGAUAUCUCCCUCUCUUAUUGGAAAACUAACCGUGAGUUCGGCUCCCACACAAUUAUGACAAUUCAUCCGUAAACUUGUGUAUUUUCAUGCAUGAAACCAUUAUUCCAAAAUUUUCAGUUUUUAAUGACUGCCAGUAUAAGCUACAAUUUUCGUAUCGUCUUAUCAUUCAUGGAUGUGUACUUCGCACACACUCAACUUUCAAGAAACAAAAUGUUUUUCCUAACCUCA